AGUGAAUGCUGGCGGUAGGCCUAACACAUGCAAGUCGAACGGCAGCACAGUAAGAGCUUGCUCUUACGGGUGGCGAGUGGCGGACGGGUGAGGAAUACAUCGGAAUCUACUUUUUCGUGGGGGAUAACGUAGGGAAACUUACGCUAAUACCGCAUACGACCUACGGGUGAAAGCAGGGGAUCUUCGGACCUUGCGCGAUUGAAUGAGCCGAUGUCGGAUUAGCUAGUUGGCGGGGUAAAGGCCCACCAAGGCGACGAUCCGUAGCUGGUCUGAGAGGAUGAUCAGCCACACUGGAACUGAGACACGGUCCAGACUCCUACGGGAGGCAGCAGUGGGGAAUAUUGGACAAUGGGCGCAAGCCUGAUCCAGCCAUACCGCGUGGGUGAAGAAGGCCUUCGGGUUGUAAAGCCCCUUUGUUGGGAAAGAAAAGCAGCAGGUUAAUACCCCGCUGUUCUGACGGUACCCAAAGAAUAAGCACCGGCUAACUUCGUG
Molecule: ribosomal RNA, 492 nt
Filed under: uncultured bacterium
Lineage: Bacteria
Description: partial 16S ribosomal RNA
Rfam family: Bacterial small subunit ribosomal RNA
Source: RNAcentral